This 485-nucleotide ribosomal RNA is filed under the name uncultured bacterium. RNAcentral describes it as "partial 16S ribosomal RNA". It matches the Rfam family "Bacterial small subunit ribosomal RNA", at positions 30 to 507 of the family's 1533-position model. The record is from RNAcentral.
UUGAACGCUGGCGGCAUGCCUUACACCUGCAAGUCGAACGGCAGCACGGGUGCUUGCACCUGGUGGCGAGUGGCGAACGGGUGAGUAAUACAUCGGAACAUGUCCUGUAGUGGGGGAUAGCCCGGCGAAAGCCGGAUUAAUACCGCAUACGAUCUACGGAUGAAAGCGGGGGACCUUCGGGCCUCGCGCUAUAGGGUUGGCCGAUGGCUGAUUAGCUAGUUGGUGGGGUAAGGGCCUACCAAGGCGACGAUCAGUAGCUGGUCUGAGAGGACGACCAGCCACACUGGGACUGAGACACGGCCCAGACUCCUACGGGAGGCAGCAGUGGGGAAUUUUGGACAAUGGGCGAAAGCCUGAUCCAGCAAUGCCGCGUGUGUGAAGAAGGCCUUCGGGUUGUAAAGCACUUUUGUCCGGAAAGAAAUCCUUGGCCCUAAUACGGUCGGGGGAUGACGGUACCGGAAGAAUAAGCACCGGCUAACUACGUG